Molecule: ribosomal RNA, 792 nt
Filed under: uncultured bacterium
Lineage: Bacteria
Description: bacterial SSU rRNA
Rfam family: Bacterial small subunit ribosomal RNA
Source: RNAcentral
AGAGUUUGAUCAUGGCUCAGGAUGAACGCUAGCGGCAGGCCUAAUACAUGCAAGCCGAACGGUAAGUUGAGUAGCAAUACUUGACCUAGAGUGGCGUACGGGUGCGUAACACGUAUGUAACCUACCCUUUACAGGAGUAUAGCUCGGGGAAACUCGGAUUAAUCCUCCAUAAGAUGACAGACCGGCAUCGGUCAGUCAUAAAAGUUCCAACGGUAAAGGAUGGACAUGCGCAUGAUUAGCUAGUUGGAGGUGUAACGGACCCCCAAGGCGAUGAUCAUUAGGGGAACUGAGAGGUUGAUCCCCCACACUGGCACUGAGAUACGGGCCAGACUCCUACGGGAGGCAGCAGUAGGGAAUAUUGGUCAAUGGGUGAGAGCCUGAACCAGCCAUGCCGCGUGCAGGAAGACGGCCUUCUGGGUUGUAAACUGCUUUUACCAGGGGAUAAAAUAGCUCUGCGGAGCCAAUUGAAGGUACCUGGAGAAUAAGCACCGGCUAACUACGUGCCAGCAGCCGCGGUAAUACGUAGGGUGCAAGCGUUGUCCGGAUUUAUUGGGUUUAAAGGGUGCGUAGGCGGGCUAUUAAGUCAGUGGUGAAAUCCAGCAGCUUAACUGUUGAUGUGCCAUUGAUACUGGUAGCCUUGAGUACAGAUGAGGUAGGCGGAAUUGACAGUGUAGCGGUGAAAUGCAUAGAUAUUGUCAAGAACUCCGAUAGCGAAGGCAGCUUACUGGGCUGUAACUGACGCUGAUGCACGAAAGUGUGGGGAUCAAACAGGAUUAGAUACCCUAGUAGUCC